Molecule: long non-coding RNA, 480 nt
Filed under: Triticum aestivum (bread wheat)
Lineage: Eukaryota; Viridiplantae; Streptophyta; Magnoliopsida; Poales; Poaceae
Description: long non-coding RNA (TAES_LNC024622)
Source: RNAcentral
UUUCUUCGUCGAAACCCAUUAACUCGGGAUCUAGUUUCGAAGAUCUCGAUGAGAGAAAUUCAAAGAAGAAAAUGGUUCAGUGUUUGGACGCACGAUUAGAGAUAAAAUAAUUUGAAAGAAUAAAUCUAAAAAAAAGAGAGAAAACUCACAUGUUGUACUCCACUUGUCAACACCUGAGAGUGUAGUGAGUGAUCUUUGCAAAGGGUGAUUUCCUAUUAUAAAUUUAAACCAUAGGCACAAGUAUCGGACGAACAUAAUGAGUGGCCCAACUCUAAAUACGCUGCCGCAAUUAUUUGGUUCACAAGAUUUAAAAAACAUACAGAAGGCUGAAUCCUAAAGGGAUGAAGUACACAAAAAUCAACAAGUGGUUUGUUUGCCCCAUAAGAGAAUCAAGGAAUUUUGUAUAGAGAUCAAAUUCAUAUGAUAGGUAUCAUAGGCACGAAGUAAGAGGAAAAAUUCAAAAUCAUAGCAUAAGAAGAC